Ziziphus jujuba (common jujube) is the source of this 1189-nucleotide RNA transcript. It is a transcript of the gene named PHD finger protein ING1, with no coding region annotated. Lineage: Eukaryota; Viridiplantae; Streptophyta; Magnoliopsida; Rosales; Rhamnaceae. The record is from RefSeq and is a predicted model, not a curated record. The transcript is spliced from 7 exons.
UUAUAAAUGUGUGUGUGUACAUAUAAAUAUAUAUAUAUAUAUCAUCUCACCUGAUGAAGCUCCGACCCAGACAGACAGAGCCAAAAAUUCACAAAUGUCAUUCCUGGAAGAAUUUCAAGCGAGCAUCGAUUCACUGCCCAAUAUUCUGCAAAAGAAGUAUUCGGUUUUGCGUGACUUAGAUAAAAGUUUACAAGAUAUCCAAAGACAAAAUGAACAACGCUGUGAACAAGAAAUCGAGGAUAUCAAGAAAGAGGUUAAGUCUGGAAAUAUUACACCUGAUACUUCACUUAUCAGAUUCUCAGAUGCAGCACUCGAUGAGCAAAGGCACAGCCUCUUGAUUGCAGAUGAAAAGGUUUCCUUGGCAGUUCAGGUGUAUGAUAUGGUGGAUACACACAUACAACAACUUGAUCAAUAUUUAAAAAAAUUUGAUGAAGAACUUCGCCGUGAAAGAGAUGCUGUGCCUGCUAGUGGUUUGCCUGCUGCAAGUUUGGAUGGCAAUGUAAAAUCUGGAAGGGGCAGUGAAGGUGGCAAAGGAGGCCGUAAGAAGUACCUGCCAUUCCUUACAUCUGUUUCUUUUCUUAGCUUAAUAUUUUUUCUUCGUUGGCCUUGUGAGCUUGUUCUUCUUGCACUAUUUUUUUAUAACACGCCUAGCAACAGCAGCUGCAGCAGCAGCUACAGAAACAGCCACUACAGCUGCCACUCCUACUGGUAUGGAUUUGGAUUUACCUGUUGAUCCAAAUGAACCAACAUACUGUGUGUGUAACAAUGUCAGCUAUGGAGAGAUGGUUGCAUGUGACAACCCCACUUGCAAGAUUGAAUGGUUCCAUUUUGGCUGUGUUGGUCUGAGAGAACAACCAAAAGGAAAAUGGUAUUGUUCAGAGUGCGCUGUGAUAAAACACCGUAGAAAAGGAAGAUGAUGCUGUAUUGUACUUUUUUCAAGGACCUGGUCGUCUCCGUUGUAGUCAUGAUGGGAAAAGGAGUAUUGCAUGUAUUAUGUAUACAAUGUGGUCUUCGCCGGAACGAAUGGAUUUGAUCAACCACAAUUUGUAGCAGUUAGUAUCAUGAUGUGAAAAGUAAUGUUGCAUGUAUUAUGUAUACAGUGUGGUCUUCGCCUGAACGAAUGGAUUUGAUCAACCACAAUUUGUAGCAAUUGGUCAACAUAAAUGCAUGGAUGCCAUUGAUUUUUGGA